GGGAAAGUGGCUCAGUGGUAGAGUGCUUGCCUUGCAUGCAUGAGGCCCUGGGUUUGAUUCCCCAGCACCA
Molecule: non-coding RNA, 70 nt
Organism: Dipodomys ordii (Ord's kangaroo rat)
Lineage: Eukaryota; Metazoa; Chordata; Mammalia; Rodentia; Heteromyidae
Source: Rfam